This 471-nucleotide ribosomal RNA is filed under the name uncultured organism. RNAcentral describes it as "partial 16S ribosomal RNA". It matches the Rfam family "Bacterial small subunit ribosomal RNA", at positions 334 to 797 of the family's 1533-position model. The record is from RNAcentral.
CACUCCUGCGGGAGGCAGCAGUGGGGAAUUUUGGACAAUGGGCGAAAGCCUGAUCCAGCAAUGCCGCGUGAGUGAAGAAGGCCUUCGGGUUGUAAAGCUCUUUUGUCAGGGAAGAAACGGUGAAAGCUAAUAUCUUUUGCUAAUGACGGUACCUGAAGAAUAAGCACCGGCUAACUACGUGCCAGCAGCCGCGGUAAUACGUAGGGUGCAAGCGUUAAUCGGAAUUACUGGGCGUAAAGCGUGCGCAGGCGGUUUUGUAAGUCUGAUGUGAAAUCCCCGGGCUCAACCUGGGAAUUGCAUUGGAGACUGCAAGGCUAGAAUCUGGCAGAGGGGGGUAGAAUUCCACGUGUAGCAGUGAAAUGCGUAGAUAUGUGGAGGAACACCGAUGGCGAAGGCAGCCCCCUGGGUCAAGAUUGACGCUCAUGCACGAAAGCGUGGGGAGCAAACAGGAUUAGAUACCCUUGUAGUCCC